This 381-nucleotide ribosomal RNA is filed under the name uncultured Lachnospiraceae bacterium. RNAcentral's name for it is "bacterial SSU rRNA". It matches the Rfam family "Bacterial small subunit ribosomal RNA", at positions 355 to 753 of the family's 1533-position model. The record is from RNAcentral. Lineage: Bacteria; Bacillati; Bacillota; Clostridia; Lachnospirales; Lachnospiraceae.
UGGGGAAUAUUGCACAAUGGAGGAAACUCUGAUGCAGCGACGCCGCGUGAGCGAUGAAGUAUUUCGGUAUGUAAAGCUCUAUCAGCAGGGAAGAUAAUGACGGUACCUGAGUAAGAAGCUCCGGCUAAAUACGUGCCAGCAGCCGCGGUAAUACGUAUGGAGCAAGCGUUAUCCGGAUUUACUGGGUGUAAAGGGAGUGUAGGCGGCUUUGCAAGUCAGAUGUGAAAGCCCGGGGCUCAACCCCGGGACUGCAUUUGAAACUGUGAAGCUGGAGUGUCGGAGAGGUAAGUGGAAUUCCUAGUGUAGCGGUGAAAUGCGUAGAUAUUAGGAAGAACACCAGUGGCGAAGGCGGAUUACUGGACGACAACUGACGGUGAGGCG